Molecule: ribosomal RNA, 2901 nt
Filed under: Escherichia coli
Lineage: Bacteria; Pseudomonadati; Pseudomonadota; Gammaproteobacteria; Enterobacterales; Enterobacteriaceae
Description: 23S ribosomal RNA
Rfam family: Bacterial large subunit ribosomal RNA
Source: RNAcentral
UUAAGCGACUAAGCGUACACGGUGGAUGCCCUGGCAGUCAGAGGCGAUGAAGGACGUGCUAAUCUGCGAUAAGCGUCGGUAAGGUGAUAUGAACCGUUAUAACCGGCGAUUUCCGAAUGGGGAAACCCAGUGUGUUUCGACACACUAUCAUUAACUGAAUCCAUAGGUUAAUGAGGCGAACCGGGGGAACUGAAACAUCUAAGUACCCCGAGGAAAAGAAAUCAACCGAGAUUCCCCCAGUAGCGGCGAGCGAACGGGGAGCAGCCCAGAGCCUGAAUCAGUAUGUGUGUUAGUGGAAGCGUCUGGAAAGGCGCGCGAUACAGGGUGACAGCCCCGUACACAAAAAUGCACAUGCUGUGAGCUCGAUGAGUAGGGCGGGACACGUGGUAUCCUGUCUGAAUAUGGGGGGACCAUCCUCCAAGGCUAAAUACUCCUGACUGACCGAUAGUGAACCAGUACCGUGAGGGAAAGGCGAAAAGAACCCCGGCGAGGGGAGUGAAAAAGAACCUGAAACCGUGUACGUACAAGCAGUGGGAGCACGCUUAGGCGUGUGACUGCGUACCUUUUGUAUAAUGGGUCAGCGACUUAUAUUCUGUAGCAAGGUUAACCGAAUAGGGGAGCCGAAGGGAAACCGAGUCUUAACUGGGCGUUAAGUUGCAGGGUAUAGACCCGAAACCCGGUGAUCUAGCCAUGGGCAGGUUGAAGGUUGGGUAACACUAACUGGAGGACCGAACCGACUAAUGUUGAAAAAUUAGCGGAUGACUUGUGGCUGGGGGUGAAAGGCCAAUCAAACCGGGAGAUAGCUGGUUCUCCCCGAAAGCUAUUUAGGUAGCGCCUCGUGAAUUCAUCUCCGGGGGUAGAGCACUGUUUCGGCAAGGGGGUCAUCCCGACUUACCAACCCGAUGCAAACUGCGAAUACCGGAGAAUGUUAUCACGGGAGACACACGGCGGGUGCUAACGUCCGUCGUGAAGAGGGAAACAACCCAGACCGCCAGCUAAGGUCCCAAAGUCAUGGUUAAGUGGGAAACGAUGUGGGAAGGCCCAGACAGCCAGGAUGUUGGCUUAGAAGCAGCCAUCAUUUAAAGAAAGCGUAAUAGCUCACUGGUCGAGUCGGCCUGCGCGGAAGAUGUAACGGGGCUAAACCAUGCACCGAAGCUGCGGCAGCGACACUAUGUGUUGUUGGGUAGGGGAGCGUUCUGUAAGCCUGUGAAGGUGUGCUGUGAGGCAUGCUGGAGGUAUCAGAAGUGCGAAUGCUGACAUAAGUAACGAUAAAGCGGGUGAAAAGCCCGCUCGCCGGAAGACCAAGGGUUCCUGUCCAACGUUAAUCGGGGCAGGGUGAGUCGACCCCUAAGGCGAGGCCGAAAGGCGUAGUCGAUGGGAAACAGGUUAAUAUUCCUGUACUUGGUGUUACUGCGAAGGGGGGACGGAGAAGGCUAUGUUGGCCGGGCGACGGUUGUCCCGGUUUAAGCGUGUAGGCUGGUUUUCCAGGCAAAUCCGGAAAAUCAAGGCUGAGGCGUGAUGACGAGGCACUACGGUGCUGAAGCAACAAAUGCCCUGCUUCCAGGAAAAGCCUCUAAGCAUCAGGUAACAUCAAAUCGUACCCCAAACCGACACAGGUGGUCAGGUAGAGAAUACCAAGGCGCUUGAGAGAACUCGGGUGAAGGAACUAGGCAAAAUGGUGCCGUAACUUCGGGAGAAGGCACGCUGAUAUGUAGGUGAAGUCCCUUGCGGAUGGAGCUGAAAUCAGUCGAAGAUACCAGCUGGCUGCAACUGUUUAUUAAAAACACAGCACUGUGCAAACACGAAAGUGGACGUAUACGGUGUGACGCCUGCCCGGUGCCGGAAGGUUAAUUGAUGGGGUCAGCGCAAGCGAAGCUCUUGAUCGAAGCCCCGGUAAACGGCGGCCGUAACUAUAACGGUCCUAAGGUAGCGAAAUUCCUUGUCGGGUAAGUUCCGACCUGCACGAAUGGCGUAAUGAUGGCCAGGCUGUCUCCACCCGAGACUCAGUGAAAUUGAACUCGCUGUGAAGAUGCAGUGUACCCGCGGCAAGACGGAAAGACCCCGUGAACCUUUACUAUAGCUUGACACUGAACAUUGAGCCUUGAUGUGUAGGAUAGGUGGGAGGCUUUGAAGUGUGGACGCCAGUCUGCAUGGAGCCGACCUUGAAAUACCACCCUUUAAUGUUUGAUGUUCUAACGUGGACCCGUGAUCCGGGUUGCGGACAGUGUCUGGUGGGUAGUUUGACUGGGGCGGUCUCCUCCUAAAGAGUAACGGAGGAGCACGAAGGUUGGCUAAUCCUGGUCGGACAUCAGGAGGUUAGUGCAAUGGCAUAAGCCAGCUUGACUGCGAGCGUGACGGCGCGAGCAGGUGCGAAAGCAGGUCAUAGUGAUCCGGUGGUUCUGAAUGGAAGGGCCAUCGCUCAACGGAUAAAAGGUACUCCGGGGAUAACAGGCUGAUACCGCCCAAGAGUUCAUAUCGACGGCGGUGUUUGGCACCUCGAUGUCGGCUCAUCACAUCCUGGGGCUGAAGUAGGUCCCAAGGGUAUGGCUGUUCGCCAUUUAAAGUGGUACGCGAGCUGGGUUUAGAACGUCGUGAGACAGUUCGGUCCCUAUCUGCCGUGGGCGCUGGAGAACUGAGGGGGGCUGCUCCUAGUACGAGAGGACCGGAGUGGACGCAUCACUGGUGUUCGGGUUGUCAUGCCAAUGGCACUGCCCGGUAGCUAAAUGCGGAAGAGAUAAGUGCUGAAAGCAUCUAAGCACGAAACUUGCCCCGAGAUGAGUUCUCCCUGACUCCUUGAGAGUCCUGAAGGAACGUUGAAGACGACGACGUUGAUAGGCCGGGUGUGUAAGCGCAGCGAUGCGUUGAGCUAACCGGUACUAAUGAACCGUGAGGCUUAACCUU